Molecule: ribosomal RNA, 460 nt
Filed under: uncultured bacterium
Lineage: Bacteria
Description: partial 16S ribosomal RNA
Rfam family: Bacterial small subunit ribosomal RNA
Source: RNAcentral
CCUACGGGUGGCAGCAGUGAGGAAUAUUGGUCAAUGGCCGUAAGGCUGAACCAGCCAAGUCGCGUGAAGGAAGAAGGAUCUAUGGUUUGUAAACUUCUUUUAUAGGGGAAUAAAGGUAUCCACGUGUGGAUAUUUGCAUGUACCCUAUGAAUAAGCAUCGGCUAACUCCGUGCCAGCAGCCGCGGUAAUACGGAGGAUGCGAGCGUUAUCCGGAUUUAUUGGGUUUAAAGGGUGCGUAGGUGGUUAAUUAAGUCAGCGGUGAAAGUUUGUGGCUCAACCAUAAAAUUGCCGUUGAAACUGGUUGACUUGAGUAUAUUUGAGGUAGGCGGAAUGCGUGGUGUAGCGGUGAAAUGCAUAGAUAUCACGCAGAACUCCGAUUGCGAAGGCAGCUUACUAAACUGCCACUGACAUUGAUGCUCGAAAGUGUGGGUAUCAAACAGGAUUAGAUACCCGUGUAGUC